GACGAACGCUGGCGGCGUGCUUAACACAUGCAAGUCGAACGGGAAGGCCCUGCUUUUGUGGGGUGCUCGAGUGGCGAACGGGUGAGUAACACGUGAGUAACCUGCCCUUGACUUUGGGAUAACUUCAGGAAACUGGGGCUAAUACCGGAUAGGAGCUCCUGCUACAUGGUGGGGGUUGGAAAGUUUCGGCGGUUGGGGAUGGACUCGCGGCUUAUCAGCUUGUUGGUGGGGUAGUGGCUUACCAAGGCUUUGACGGGUAGCCAGCCUGAGAGGGUGACCGGCCACAUUGGGACUGAGAUACGGCCCAGACUCCUACGGGAGGCAGCAGUGGGGAGUAUUGCACAAUGGGCGGAAGCCUGAUGCAGCAACGCCGCGUGCGGGAUGACGGCCUUCGGGUUGUAAACCGCUUUCGCCUGUGACGAAGCGUGAGUGACGGUAAUGGGUAAAGAAGCACCGGCUAACUACGUG
This 468-nucleotide ribosomal RNA is filed under the name uncultured bacterium. Its description in RNAcentral is "partial 16S ribosomal RNA". It matches the Rfam family "Bacterial small subunit ribosomal RNA", at positions 28 to 507 of the family's 1533-position model. The record is from RNAcentral.